UGGUUACAGCUAAACAACAACUUGUCAUGGAAGAUACAACGCUGUGAUUGGUGAAAAGUCACGUGACAUAAAAAUUUCCCGGCAUUCCCAUCAGCACACAUGACCUUUUUUAUAGGUGUAAAUAGGUCGUCAAGCGUAUCACGUAGCAACAUCGUCAGACAAUCGAGAAAAUGAAAGGAAUGUUGGAGAAAACUGGAAAUAACAGCUACCUUCUACAUGUUAUUUAUCUUUAAUGGUGAACAACUGACAAGAGCCGAGCCUAGGUUGACUUUAAUGGUGACAAGAUAUAAUUUAAUUCCAAACUUGAUGCUUGUGUAUGAUUUGCAUAAAUAAAGCUCAUGUAAUGUGAUAUAUAGUUGUAUUAACUAUGAGACCAGGAUGCAUCAAAUCUACACACCUGUUUUAUCACAUUUUAAAAACUUACUGAAUAAAAUUGUUAGAAACUUCUUUAUAACUUUCUACAUAUCAUGUAGUUUAUAUUGAUAAACAACUUUGAAAUUUCAAAAAUAUUUAUUGUUAUAUACAUUUUAAGAAGAAAAAGUGCUUACAUUUGCUGUAGAUUAAAAUUACAGAUUUUUGUCUUCCUGUAUUAUUUUAUAAAACUGUAAGUUGUAUUGAAAAACAUUGUAUGCAGUUAUUGGCAUGCAAUACUUUUUUGUGUGUUUACCAAAAUUAUAUGCUAGUUGUCUUUUUUCUUAAAUUAUU
Molecule: long non-coding RNA, 705 nt
Organism: Limulus polyphemus (Atlantic horseshoe crab)
Lineage: Eukaryota; Metazoa; Arthropoda; Merostomata; Xiphosura; Limulidae
Exons: 2
Source: RefSeq, a predicted model, not a curated record